AAGUAAGUGCUUAAGGGCACAUGGUGG
This 27-nucleotide ribosomal RNA is filed under the name Mycobacterium intracellulare. RNAcentral's name for it is "partial 23S ribosomal RNA". Lineage: Bacteria; Bacillati; Actinomycetota; Actinomycetes; Mycobacteriales; Mycobacteriaceae. The record is from RNAcentral.